CCAGUCGCAACGAACAGUGGAGCAGCUGCUCCAACGAAUGCCGGACAAACAGAAAGCCCAAGACAUGCCGGAGGUCAUCGAACAGUACGCAGCCUAUUCUGGUUUAUCGUGUAUGUUCGCGUAGUUGCUGUCCGCUGUGGUACGUUGUUGCAGCCUAUGCUGGUGAAACAUCUUUCUACAUCAAAAUCAAUUGGCCGUUCCUUGGUGCUGGUGUCGUGUUUCCGAAGUUGUAUUAUUAUUUUACUAAAUUGGCAUUGUGUCAAUGUAGUAUACCGUUAAUAUGUUAAGAAGGAACAAAAAAGAAAUAUGGGGAUGUUUAUGUCAAAUAAAUAAUAAACAUGUUUUCGGGAUUGGGAAAGGAAAGAGGAGGAUGUUGGAGGGGGGAUAUUUCAAGUUUGGUUAAAAAACAGUUAAUUUAUAACCCUACAAACAUAUCCCUACCAAUUAAUCUCCAAACCCCACAUACUUAUACCUUCUAAUUCUUCUGACCCCAUAAACAUUACACCUACCAACCCUCAAAUGUAUACCCUAAACCACAUAAACCAAUGUCAAACCCUAUGUCUUUAAUAAAUAAAAAAAUUUAAUACAUCAAACUAGUUUUUA
Molecule: long non-coding RNA, 603 nt
Organism: Daphnia pulex (common water flea)
Lineage: Eukaryota; Metazoa; Arthropoda; Branchiopoda; Diplostraca; Daphniidae
Exons: 2
Source: RefSeq, a predicted model, not a curated record